This 2022-nucleotide long non-coding RNA is filed under the name Canis lupus familiaris (dog). Its description in RNAcentral is "lncRNA (ENSCAFG00030022185.1)". The record is from RNAcentral. Lineage: Eukaryota; Metazoa; Chordata; Mammalia; Carnivora; Canidae.
AGCCUUUUAUUGACCUAAAAAGUGUGUCUGUGUGUGUGUGUGUGUGUGUGUGUGUGUGUGUGUGUGUGUGUCAGAGAGAGAGAGAGAGAGAGAGAAUGGGGGGGAGAGAGGUGUUUCAUUUCCUACUAUUGCACUGAGGAAAUGUGAAUACCUAUGGGGUUGACUCUAAUAACUGUAGUUUAGCUUAAAUGUCCCCAUCACUUGACAGUCUUCCUGAUCUAAAUCCAGAGUUUGCUCCAGCACAGAGCCAUCACUGUGUGCUUAGUCCCUGCCCAGGCCUCUGGUGAUGGAGAAGUUAAUUAGUUAACACCUGAGGUGACUCCCCAGAGUGUGCCUUCCCUUCCUGAACCCAGCUCACAGAAUCUUAGUCCCUGGCUUCUGCCUUCCAUCUUCCUGCUUCUUUCCCUCUGUAGGCCUGAGACCUUCUGGAACUGCUCUAUAAACAAGUUACAAAGUGAGCUGGGUACAGCCACUGGGCCAGUGAGCUGGGCACAGCCACUGUGCCAACCCUUAGGAGGUGGCUGUGAGUUUCCAGGGGACCCACUUUGGCAGCUUUGAGUACUGAUAUGAGAGACCCAUCGCAGGAAGGUAACUGUGUGUGUAAAAUUGGCAGUGUUGUAAGCAAACCCUGUUCUUCUCUGUACAGGUUGUGGUUGGGAUGAACUAUUUCCUGGAAGUGGAGAUGGGCCGAACCAGAUGCACCAAGUCCAAGCCCAACUUGGAGAGCUGUCCCUUUCAUGUGCACCUAGACCUGCUGAAGAAAAAGCUCUGCUCUUUCCAGAUACACAUUGUGCCCUGGAUGGGCACGACCUCCUUGGUGAAGUCCAGCUGCCAGGAUACAUAGAAGACUCUGACAAGCCCCUUCUCAUUAUCAUCCCCCCUCCUUAUAAAGCUGCUACACUUUAUAAUGGUGACCCUGCCCAGGGGUCCCCAUCGGUGUGCUAGUCCCAGGCAACAAAGAAAGGUUCUGGGGCUUUUCUGAACAGCUUAGUGGCUCUACGCACUUUCUUUUCAUUACUCUCCAAAUCACCAGAAGCAGUGUACAUGUCCUGCUCUAUGUUAAUCAAUAAAUACUAACAUCAGGCACCUUUUGAGUUGUUCACUGUCUUGGGAAUAUGCACAGAAGAACGGUUUGGGCAAUGCUUUUAAGAGUCCCUAGUCCCAAGGCUCUAGAGAGCAGAGGAGGAACUGAGAGCUGAAAGAACCCUGAUGAGGUCGUGAGGGGAGUGUGCUGCCACUUUUUGGAAUGAUUGAGUAAAGAGAACGCUAGGAACCCAGAUCUUCAGUUGUGGUGCUCCUGAUGAUCACAUAGGAGAGAAAGAGACCUAGGCUGCCCCUCCUGGAGAUUUGUGCUAUAAAAGGAAGUCAGAUGGUGAGCAGACUGCACAGGAGGGAGGGAUGGAUGGAGCCCAUAGACCAGAGCCACCCUGGCAGGGCUAUGCCAGGCACAGAUUUUAGCCAUGUGUGCUUAGCUCAUCACACUCCUGAGGCUGAUUUUCACUGGUAAAAUAUGCAAAAUAAACGGAUUUAGGUCUACCUCUUUCCACAAAAGACGUCAGGCACCUACAGUAGACAAAAACUAAAAGUAUAUGUCUGUUUAUGUAACUAUUAGGGAAAUACCAAUCAGAAUUAAGGUCAGUCAAGGCCACAGUCAGGAGUUACAUUAGAAAGAGUAGAAGCACUCCACGUCACUUUCUCAAGAGUAUGUCCUUGGAGCUGCCUCCAGGAAAUACAAGGGGACCACAUAUCCACAAACAGGGAUAGGGAUAUGGAGCCUUUUGAGUACUCAGGUUCUGGUCACUGGUUAAUCCAUGGUCUUUCCUUUUUUGAUGACAUGUCCCAACACUCCACCCUCAUGGACCACUCUUAAAAUCUCACAGCCCCUUCUUCAGCAGCAGGCACUGAGCUGUUAACAAGAGGUUUUACUAGCCUGCAUGUGACUCUUUUGGUGGCUCUCUGGCUGCACUGGAGGCAGAUGCCAUAGCAAAAAUAAAGGCACAUGCAAGACAAAACACAUUUAAG